AGAUUAAGUUAUUAAGGGCGCACGGUGGAUGCCUUGGCACUAGAAGCCGAUGAAGGACGUUACUAACGACGAUAUGCUUUGGGGAGCUGUAAGUAAGCUUUGAUCCAGAGAUUUCCGAAUGGGGAAACCCAGCAUGAGUUAUGUCAUGUUAUCGAUAUGUGAAUACAUAGCAUAUCAGAAGGCACACCCGGAGAACUGAAACAUCUUAGUACCCGGAGGAAGAGAAAGAAAAUUCGAUUCCCUUAGUAGCGGCGAGCGAAACGGGAAGAGCCCAAACCAACAAGCUUGCUUGUUGGGGUUGUAGGACACUCUAUACGGAGUUACAAAGGACGACAUUAGACGAAUCAUCUGGAAAGAUGAAUCAAAGAAGGUAAUAAUCCUGUAGUCGAAAAUGUUGUCUCUCUUGAGUGGAUCCUGAGUACGACGGAGCACGUGAAAUUCCGUC
RNAcentral lists this ribosomal RNA (445 nucleotides) under Staphylococcus aureus. RNAcentral describes it as "partial 23S ribosomal RNA". It matches the Rfam family "Bacterial large subunit ribosomal RNA", at positions 1 to 438 of the family's 2925-position model. The record is from RNAcentral. Lineage: Bacteria; Bacillati; Bacillota; Bacilli; Caryophanales; Staphylococcaceae.